RNAcentral lists this transfer-messenger RNA (156 nucleotides) under Clostridia bacterium. Its description in RNAcentral is "partial transfer-messenger RNA". It matches the Rfam family "transfer-messenger RNA", at positions 212 to 374 of the family's 374-position model. From Rfam's summary of the family: Bacterial tmRNA, also known as 10Sa RNA or SsrA, is named for its dual tRNA and mRNA-like properties. Its role is to liberate the mRNA from a stalled ribosome. Lineage: Bacteria; Bacillati; Bacillota; Clostridia. The record is from RNAcentral.
GCCAGUCUCCUUUCUAACGGUCAUGCAUAAAAAGGAUACCUCACCUCGCUUUUGUUUGUUUGGACGAGGGUAGGUAACUCUGCAAAUAAACUGCACCCGGAGAAAACUGCGUGAAUGGAUUUUCGGACACGGGUUCGAUUCCCGUCGCCUCCACCA